This is a long non-coding RNA of Phacochoerus africanus (Common warthog), 1462 nucleotides long. RefSeq lists it as uncharacterized. NCBI's taxonomy places the organism in Eukaryota, Metazoa, Chordata, Mammalia, Artiodactyla, Suidae. The record is from RefSeq and is a predicted model, not a curated record. The transcript is spliced from 4 exons.
CUCUUCUUCCAGGCUCCAUACAGUGUGGAAUGCUCUGCCUGAGGAACUUGUAGAUUUUUAAGCAUGUCCUUCAGAGACCCAGAAGCAGCUGCAGCGACGGGUCCACCUCUGCUGACUGACAUGGAUGUGAAAUGAACAUUGGCCCCUGCAAGAUGAGAAACAAAGCGCUCAUGGACAGUAAACACUGGAGCCAAGAUUUGUAAUUGCAUCUCUCUGCCUCCAAAUUCCUGAUCUUUGAAGAACAUCCUACCGCCUCCCAGAAAUAAACUAAGAGCAAAUGUGGCUGGAAAGGGUAUGGAUUUCUCGUCUCCAGAGGAGCCUCUUCUUAAUCCAAACACUCAGGAGGCGGGAAGGGGUGUGUCAACUCAGCUCAGCAAGUGGAGAGAGAUGGAAAGAGAUAGCUGAAACCCUGAAAAGCACAUCCAUUUGGAUGAAUGAGAAUGAGGCCACGGCAGACCAGCUUCGACCUCUUGCAUCCCAGCCUCCAAAUAUCCUUUUGAUGUUUACUCUGGGAGGGCGUUGUUUUCAGGAUUCCCUCCGCCUCUUACUUUCUUAUGUGUGUCCCUUCCUUUUAGAUUUUAUAGGUACAUGUAAUAUUUAUGUGUCGGUGACCUCUCAAAGCAGUUUUAGAGAUUGACUGUUUACAUUUAGGAAUUUUCUUUAAGGUCUACAAAAUCCUUUGUGCUUUUUCCAGGAAAGGCACUCUGUCAGAACCAAAACAAACAGCUGAAUAACUCACAUUUGAUUGGGGCCAAAUCUCUUAGGAGAGUAAAAAGAAAAAAAAAAAAAAGUUAGCCUUUGUUUUUGUUGUUUCCUUUCCCCGCCUCGAUCUGGUCGCAUCAUCUCGAGCCCUUGCUGCUUCCAAACUGAUUAAGGAUUGCUUUAAAGCUAAGGUCGAAUCCUUGUAUGGGAGAAACCUUGACCCUGGGAGAUUUUGCGAGGCACAUUUCGGGAAGGAUCUAGCAAUGAGGAAAAACCGUGUCUUCCGAAAAAUGUAUCCAAGUGUAUUUUACAUGUGUCUCCAUGACCAUGGAGGAUAAGAGGACUGUUAGGGCUCUGACCAAAUUCCUCGGGUCCUUGGCAGGACCUCGGCUGUGUAAUUCAGGCUUAGGACUGUUAUCCGGGCCUCUUCAGAAGGUCUGUCCCAAGCCGAUGAUGUCGGUGGUUCGUGCUCAGCCCAAACAGAGUCAUAUUUAGCUGUUUGCCUGACUCCCCAGGUCCCCUUCCCAGCAUGACUUGCUCUGUGAAAAAAAGUUAUGGGGUCUGGCAAGCACAAGGGCCUUCCCUAGAGCUGAAAAGGCCUCUUCCCAUGUUACUGCUUGUCCUAGCUCUUUGACCUUAGGCAAAUUCCUGGACUGGCUGGAGUCACAGUUACCCUGGUUGUCACUGAGACUGGCUGAGUGAUAAUAAGACCUACCUUCUGUCAUAGGUGGGAGGAUUAAGUGAGAUAAUGACUGUACAA